Molecule: long non-coding RNA, 929 nt
Filed under: Oryza sativa (Asian cultivated rice)
Lineage: Eukaryota; Viridiplantae; Streptophyta; Magnoliopsida; Poales; Poaceae
Description: long non-coding RNA (OSAT_LNC001288)
Source: RNAcentral
CACAGAAGUGCUUCGGAAGCUUCCAUCGAUCGGGGCGCGUGCUACCUACGCUCGGCCUGGUGAUCUUCCUGAUUCUCCAGUUCCUCUGAAGAAUUCAAGGUGAAGACCAUUAGAAAACCAGAGUAAAUAAAGGAAGGAAUUGAAAGCCUGCAAGUAUAAUGUUCAAGGUGACACACAUAUAUUGCUCUGAUUGAUGAGUAGUAGUUCGUUAAGGGUGCUAGAUGCAUGUUGGCUAAUCAUUUCAGAUAUGAUAAGGUUCAUGCAGGGUGUUCAUUGGGUGGAGUAAUUGUUUUCCUUUAUUAAAAGGUUAGCAUACAUCAUCAUGAGCACUGUUUGUGUAGUGAAUACAAAUAGUGUGACCAUCUUAUACAUUGUUUUCAUUGUGCAAUCAAAUUUAAGUCAUGCCUUUCAAACUUGUACAGUAUUAAAUUUCGAUAUGGCAAGCAAGCUUAAUUCCAUAAAGAAGUCAUAUUAUGGAAUGACAUAGAUAUAGUUCAUUUUAUAUUGAACAAAUAGAGAUUUCAAAAGCCAAUCCAGCUUAUACUCAGCAAGAUGAAACAAAAAGCAUGAACAUAAUUUGAAACAUAUAUGCUCUUUAAAUUAGACUGAAGUGGGAUAGAAAGAUUUCAGUAUAAAACUUAAGGUGUUCUUGAACAAGACCGCACCUCAGAUAACACGAUUAGGCAUCGACAAUACUUUUCUGCUAUAUUAAUCUUUUAUUAUCAAUAAGAAUUUCCAGAGAUCCAUGGAAGGUUAGUUAAAAGGCCAUUAAAAAAACUUGUAGUUGACACAUCUCAAGCUAACAUUCUGACUAAAUUUGGUGAAACAGAAAAAAGGAGAAGAGGAACAAGAAAAAGAGCAGUACAUCUCAUGUUUGCACGCUAUAAAAGUUACCUGUUGUGGAUUGGAUCUGGUCCAUUUGGCACCCU